UACGUAGGGGCGAGCGUUGUCCGGAAUGACUGGGCGUAAAGGGCGUGUAGGCGGCUUUAUAAGUCUGGAGUGAAAGUCCUGCUUUCAAGGUGGGAAUUGCUUUGGAGACUGUAGAGCUUGAGUGCGGAAGAGGUAAGUGGAAUUCCCAGUGUAGCGGUGAAAUGCGUAGAGAUCGGGAGGAACACCAGUGGCGAAGGCGGGUAACUGGACUGCAACUGACGCUGAGGCGCGAAAGUGUGGGGAGCAAACAGGAUUAGAUACCCGCGUAGUCCCU
This 274-nucleotide ribosomal RNA is filed under the name uncultured prokaryote. RNAcentral's name for it is "partial 16S ribosomal RNA". It matches the Rfam family "Bacterial small subunit ribosomal RNA", at positions 524 to 798 of the family's 1533-position model. The record is from RNAcentral.